UCCGUAGGUGAACCUGCGGAAGGAUCAUUAAUUAUGUUAAAGCGCCUUACCUUAGGGUUUCCUCUGGGGUAAGUGAUUGCUUCUACACUGUGAAAAUUUGGCUGAGAGACUCAGACUGGUCAUGGGUAGACCUAUCUGGGGUUUGAUCGAUGCCACUCCUGGUUUCAGGAGUACCCUUCAUAAUAAACCUAGAAAUUCAGUAUUAUAAAGUUUAAUAAAAAACAACUUUUAACAAUGGAUCUCUUGGUUCUCGCAUCGAUGAAGAACGUAGCAAAGUGCGAUAACUAGUGUGAAUUGCAUAUUCAGUGAAUCAUCGAGUCUUUGAACGCAGCUUGCACUCUAUGGUUUUUCUAUAGAGUACGCCUGCUUCAGUAUCAUCACAAAUCCACACAUAACAUUUGUUUAUGUGGUGAUGGGUCGCAUCGCUGUUUUAUUACAGUGAGCACCUAAAAUGUGUGUGAUUUUCUGUCUGGCUUGCUAGGCAGGAAUAUUACGCUGGUCUCAGGAUCUUUUUUUUUGGUUCGCCCAGGAAGUAAAGUACAAGAGUAUAAUCCAGUAACUUUCAAACUAUGAUCUGAAGUCAGGUGGGAUUACCCGCUGAACUUAAGCAUAUCAAUAAGCGGAGGA
RNAcentral lists this ribosomal RNA (627 nucleotides) under uncultured Rhizopus. RNAcentral describes it as "eukaryotic LSU rRNA". The stretch from base 224 to 377 matches the Rfam family "5.8S ribosomal RNA". Lineage: Eukaryota; Fungi; Mucoromycota; Mucoromycetes; Mucorales; Mucoraceae. The record is from RNAcentral.